This 771-nucleotide ribosomal RNA is filed under the name marine sediment metagenome. RNAcentral's name for it is "SSU rRNA". It matches the Rfam family "Bacterial small subunit ribosomal RNA", at positions 41 to 755 of the family's 1533-position model. The record is from RNAcentral.
GGCAUGCUUUAUACAUGCAAGUCGAGCGAAGACUAGAUUUGUAGUAGAAAUGAUUAAUUUUCACUUUGUGGAGAUUAUGAGUUCUUGCUAUUCCUGGUCUUAGCGGCGAACGGGUGAGUAACGCGUGAAUAAUCUGCCCUUGAAAUCGGGAUACCAUUCCGAAAGGAAUGCUAAUACCGAAUAACGUUAUGAAACAUAGGUUUUAUAACCAAAGUUGAAUCUUUGGAUUCUUCGUUCAAGGAUGAGUUCGCGUCCUAUUAGCUAGUUGGUGAGGUAAAGGCUCACCAAGGCUGUGAUGGGUAGCCGGCCUGAGAGGGCGUACGGCCACAUUGGGACUGAGACACGGCCCAGACUCCUACGGGAGGCAGCAGUAGGGAAUCUUCCGCAAUGGGCGAAAGCCUGACGGAGCGAUGCCACGUGGAUGACGGAGGCCUUCGGGUCGUAAAAUCCUGUCAGGGGGGACGAUGGUCAAUUUUCGGAUUGAUUGACGGUACCUCCAGAGGAAGCUCCGGCCAACUACGUGCCAGCAGCCGCGGUAAUACGUAGGGAGCAAGCGUUGUUCGGAUUUACUGGGCGUAAAGAGUGCGUAGGUGGCUAUACAAGUCAAGGGUGAAAUCUCUACUUUCAAGGUAGAAACUGCCUUUGAUACUGUAUGGCUAGAGGACAAGAGGGGGAAAUGGAACUCUGGGAGUAGCGGUGAAAUGCGUAGAUAUCCAGAGGAACGCCAGUAGCGAAGGCGGUUUCCUGGCUUGUUUCUGACACUGAGGCACC